GAUAGCACUCGACUCAGGAUGCCAGAGGCAGCUGCUGGAAGUAUUUCUAUUAUCCAAAUCUAAAUAUAGAUGAGUAUAAGCCAGGUGACUUGACUGUCCAAAGGGGUUAUUAUUAGGGAAAACAGCAACCUGUUGAGAGAGAAGAACAACAUUUGGAAAAAGUGACCAUGCACGGAUGUUCAAGAAACGAAAAAGACUAGAAGCAGAGAAGACCACAACCAUAGCCCAGGAGCAAAAUCAACAGAGCCUGUAUAUGAAUAGUGAGAGGAAAUAGGCGCAACUUUUUUCCUGGAGCCUGACCAUCAUCAGAAUGUCACCUGACCUCUGGGCACUGAAAGCCAACUCUGAGUGCAAACUGGGAGGGCCACCCCUUCCCUCCAACCUACUAGGAAACCCUGCAACCCAAAGCAGGAGAAAGCUUUCCGCUGUCCUGACUCAAAGGAGGCAGAGGGAUAACUUAAGUCUUCCAGGUGGACGUUGCACUUCUGGGCACCUGCGCUGUGCUCAGCAGAACACAGCAUAGCUCAGGGCAAGAAGCAGAGCAGAAAGCCCAGCGGGCCAAGUCAAGAUGCAACAAGACCUGGAGCAGCAGCCACCCACACUCACUGAGCUGGCUUCCUUCUUGAAAUAAUGCCACUUUGCACAUAGGAGUAGUUUUCCUCCUAUUAUUAUAGUGGUAUUCCAGCACACCCACCGCCAAAGAGGCCAGAUAGCAAUGUGUGUGAUGUAACAUAUGUGGCCCCUAUUCAGAGGCAUACUGUGGGAUCCUGAUUCUAGUAAGUCUGCCAUCAACAAUCCCUAAAACUAACAGAAAGAAGACAGGCAGCAAGGGAAGACACAGUGCAUACAAAGGAGCCAUGUUUCUGCUCCAAAGAGAUGCUUUAAAAUUGAACAGGCCUGAAUGUUAAGUCCCAAUGACACUCCCUGCUCGUUUCCUUCUUUGAGCAACAGGUCCUCAAGCUUUACCAUGAGAAGCUUAGAAUAUGGUAAGUUCUCAGUAUCAGUUCUUGGAGCACACACUGUUGGUUGACUACCCAACAUCCAUAUCCUGUUCUUUCCUACCGGAAUCUUGAUUUUGUUUGCCAGGCCUUGGGAGAUUCAUCUUAUUGAUCUAAGCCAAUAACAGCAUAUGGUUCUUUUUCACCAGCGAAUGGUCUGUGGCUCUGCCCUAGUCCUGACCUAUAAGAUCCAAAAGUAAUACAGUACAGGCUCUUGCAGGGAAGUUUUUCUCCUGAAUAAAAGAACCAUCCUACAAGGCUCCUUUGCUCCCCAUUCUCCUUCCUGUUUGAGAACGGUCAUGUGAAGAGGUGAUGCUGGCAGUGAUAACAGCCCAUGAAGAUGUGAUGUAUGGGAGUGAUACAGCCCAUGCUGACAGGUGCUGCCCAAUCCCCACUGGCAGUGCAGAAGGGAAAGCAGGAAAGAGUCCCUGACCUCUGUGACAUCUCUAGGCCCCUGCACCAACUCUGAAACCAAAUGCCCAGACUUCUUGCUACGUGAGAUAAUUAAUGUUUCUGCUGCUUAAUCUCCUUUCAGACCAGUACUCUGUUAUUUGUACCCAAAGGCUUCUUAACUCUUAACAGUCUCCUGCCUUUCCUCAGUCUAGCCACAUUGAUUCAUACUUCCUGACUGCUAAGGGUUAACCAUUGCAUCAGAGGCCAAAGUCACUGCAAUCCCCAAAAGGACUUGGUAAAAAAUUAGCAAGAAAACAGUUUAGCACACAGUGCAAUUUUGGAUUUUAAAACAGCUCCAGUAUCAAGCAUGACUUUUCAUGCCAGAAGCACAAAUUAAAACAAGCAAAUGCAGAGGCAUCUCAAAGGGGAAGAAAACAUACUGCAAGAAGAAUCUAAUUCACUUUUUUGCCAAUAGCUGCUGCUGGGGCUAUAUUUACAUAAACCUACAACAAAGAAAAUAGCACACUUCUAGGAAAACAGGAGACAGAAGUAAGUUCGACAUCCUAGUCUUGACCCUUGUAAUUCAAGGUGGGGUCCAUAAACCAGACCAGCAUUACCUGUGAGGCUUUAAAUGCAGAAUCUUGAGUCCCACGCUAUACCUACUGAAUCAGAAUCUGGAUUGCAGCAAGAUCCCCAGCUGACUGAAUGCACAUCGAAGAAGAGAAGCACUACUCUAGAUUACUGUCCUCCUAGCAGGCACUGUGGCAUGAUUCAGUGGGACUGGAAGAUCUCAAUGCACAGCCAACUCCACAGGUUCCUCUUUCACCUCUCAGAUGAAGAGAACCAUGGCAGUUGAGAAAGAGUAGCAGGAAAAAAGUAUUUAUGUGUGCAUAUUCAUGUAUCUUAUGACACAGUUAGUCCAAGGGCAAUUCUAAAAACAUAAGUCAUAUCCUACACAGAUCUAACCCAGCGAUUCUCAACUGUGUCUCAUAUGUGCAGUAGAAUAAAUUCAUACACAUGGCA
Symphalangus syndactylus (siamang) is the source of this 2414-nucleotide long non-coding RNA. RefSeq lists it as uncharacterized. NCBI's taxonomy places the organism in Eukaryota, Metazoa, Chordata, Mammalia, Primates, Hylobatidae. The record is from RefSeq and is a predicted model, not a curated record.